GGGUGAAGUCUGGAUUCUCCCGCAGACAUGGUAGAUUGCUCCAGAGUCAUCCAAGCAUUUGAGAAAUAGUAGUGCAUGUAACCUCCCUCUGCCUCUAGGCCAUAUCUAUUCUGGGCAAGCUCCAAGAUAGCUCUAGCCGCUCUCAAAAAGUCCAAGCCAUCCAAAAGCAGAAAUGCCAAGUGGGCAUCCUUCAUUAUAAAGUUUCCUGCAUUAGUGUAAAGGUAUUCCUGUGUCAACCACCAUCUUCAUCUCUCAUCACCACCGGGAUCAAUAGGAUAAUGCAUAUAAGCCAGCCAGAUGUUUAGAGGCAGCCCACCACCCUGGGGUUGAUGUUAUUGGGAAUGUGGCUCACCAUCCUCUGAAACAUCAGGUUUCCACUUCAAGCAGAGGACCCAAUAGUCAUAAGCAAAAUCUCUCAGGCGUUGUUUUGGCUGCUGCACCAACAACCUCAAUUUGUCCUAACCCCAGGGAGGUAAUUCUUUGGUAAAAAAGCAGCCAUGAAUGCCAUGAAAGACCUCUUUUCAGCCUUCCACCAGCUCAGAGCAGGACCCACAAGCUUGGCCCUGGGCAGUGGUCUGAUUUCCAGGUAGUUUUCACACUGUUCGAUGAAUGUGAGCACAUCCACCAUCUCACACACAUCUCCAAAGGAGGAAAACUCCAAUCGGAUGGGAGACUUCGCACAGAAGCCAGGGAGCUAGGGGCAGUAAGAGAAGAAAAGGAAGUAGUUGGAGUGUAUGCUUGAAGGUGGGGCAGAGAAAGGGUAAUUGUGUAUUGCAGCUUUUUCAUCUGACUCCACAAUUUUGCUUUUCUCCUCAGGAAAAUAUCUGCAACAGCCUUCUCCAGCUUCUCCAGACUUUUCUGGAAGUAUUCUCCUAACUCUGCCAAGCUAGCAUCCACUGCCUGCUGGACACUGGCCUUCCGAUUUAAGUGAUGUGAAGGUCUCUACAGUCUCUUCAGUGGUUUGAUGACACGACUGACACUAUGAGCACCUACAAUAAUGAGGCUUGCCUUAGCAAACACCACUAAUUACUGUGUGCACUAGCUAAAGGCCAAAUCACACCACAGCAAAAUGACAGAUUUCAUACGAGCAAUCAUUUGUGGAUGGCGUAUAUUCUUCCUUUUAAACAUUAUGUGGGCUGACAAUAAUCUGUAAUAUGAGGUUUACGAUGACAACUCACAAUAGGUGGAGAUAAUUAAACCGUCAUGGUUUAAAACCAUUACCUUUAUCUGCAACAAGGCUAAAAAAACAGAAGGAAAAUCCAAACAUUGGGACGAUCCUAUCUCUCGCUCCCAUGCGAGGUUUGACGAUAAGGGCUGGUGAUGUGGCCCCUAAAGGGCCCGAGAGGAGAUUACAGUGCUGUUGGACAGUGCCAGGAUCAGUCGUGCUCCAUCUGGAGCCGUGAGAACAGAUAAAACAGCCAACAUAUCCAACGCUUUCUCCCAGCCACAACACCGUGGAUCAACAGCUACGAGCAAUCCUCGCUUGAUUUCUACAGCACACAAGUUUGAUCCCUGCGCAAACAAUGUGUAAAAAACUCCUCGUGCACCUGUAACAACAGCUCUCCGGAUAAAGAAACCCUGCAGGACAGUGCUCCUGGUGAGAGAGCCGAAUUUAACACUUAAAGUACACGGAUAGUUUGGUCAUGAAACUUUCUUUAGCAUUUAUUUAAAAAAAAAAUGUAAUAAAUUAAAAAAAAAAAUAGAUACAUUA
Long non-coding RNA from Cyprinus carpio carpio, 1711 nucleotides. Lineage: Eukaryota; Metazoa; Chordata; Actinopteri; Cypriniformes; Cyprinidae. The record is from Ensembl.